This 442-nucleotide ribosomal RNA is filed under the name uncultured bacterium. Its description in RNAcentral is "partial 16S ribosomal RNA". It matches the Rfam family "Bacterial small subunit ribosomal RNA", at positions 338 to 795 of the family's 1533-position model. The record is from RNAcentral.
CCUACGGGAUGCAGCAGUGGGGAAUAUUGGGCAAUGGGCGCAAGCCUGAACCAGCAACGCCGCGGGAAGGAAGAAGGCUUUAGGGUUGUAAACUUCUUUUAAGAGGGAAGAGAAGAAGACGGUACCUCUUGAAUAAGCCACGGCUAACUACGGGCCAGCAGCUGCGGUAAUACGUAGGUGGCAAGCGUUGCCCGGAUUUACUGGGUGUAAAGGGCGUGCAGCCGGGAAGGCAAGUAAGAUGUGAAAUCCCGCGGCUCAACCGCGGAACUGCAUUUGAAACUGUUUUUCUUGAGUACCGGAGAGGUCAUCGGAAUUCCUUGUGUAGCGGUGAAAUGCGUAGAUAUAAGGAAGAACACCGAUGGCGAAGGCGGAUGACUGGACGGCAACUGACGGUGAGGCGCGAAAGCGUGGGGAGCAAACAGGAUUAGAUACCCGGGUAGUC